GAGUUUGAUCCUGGCUCAGGACGAACGCUAGCGGCGUGCCUAAGAAAUGCAAGUCGAGCGAGGUUAGAGACUUCGGUUUCGAAGCCUAGCGGCGAACGGUCGCGUAACACGUAAGCAACCUGCCCUGAAGUGGGGGAUAGCCCUCCGAAAGGAGGAUUAAUACCGCAUGUGGACACUUUCCCGCAUGAGAGAGUGUCUGAAGCAGCAAUGCGCUUCAGGAUGGGCUUGCGGCCUAUCAGCUAGUUGGUGGGGUAAUGGCCUACCAAGGCGACGACGGGUAGCUGGUCUGAGAGGAUGGUCAGCCGGACUGGGACUGAGAUACGGCCCAGACUCCUACGGGGGGCAGCAAUUAGGAAUCUUGCGCAAUGGGCGAAAGCCUGACGCAGCGACGCCGCGUGACUGAUGAAGUCUUUCGGGAUGUAAAGGUCUUUUUUGGGGGAAGAAGGAUGUGACGGUACCCCAAGAAUAAGCCCCGGCUAACUACGUGCCAGCAGCCGCGGUAAUACGUAGGGGGCGAGCGUUGUCCGAAUUCACUGGGCGUAAAGCGCGCGUAGGCGGGUUAUUAAGUUGAGGGUGAAAUGCCGAGGCUCAACCUCGGAACUGCCUUCAA
RNAcentral lists this ribosomal RNA (610 nucleotides) under uncultured bacterium. RNAcentral's name for it is "bacterial SSU rRNA". It matches the Rfam family "Bacterial small subunit ribosomal RNA", at positions 9 to 630 of the family's 1533-position model. The record is from RNAcentral.